GAGAAAAGGACUAUUUUGAUCUUAAAACAAGAACUAUGAAGAAAAGGUGAGUACCAAUUAGGUGUUGCUAUGAUCAACUUUUUAAACAGCUUAUUAACAGUGAAAUAAAACUCAUUGUGCUGAUAAGUGAAGAAAGGAAGGAAAAUCCAUGAUAAUUCAUCAUAUAUCAUAAGACAUCAGCAUCUGGACAUAAGAACCAUGCCAGUCACUGUGACUCUAAACAGAGAGAGAAGUCCUCUUCGAGCCCCACCGGUUUACAGAAGUCUAUCAAUCUCUCUGUCCAUCUUCCGGAUCAUUAUUCAAGUUACUAUCCCCAAUUUUGCUGGGUACAUAAGAUCUAGCCACACUCUGUAGAUCAUUUUUCCUCCUUGUGGAUUAGGAAUUUGUUCUCUUUAAAUUAUCUCUGAGUGAAUAUGCUGCUCAGAAAAAGUAGCAGGAAUGUCAACAUCACAUGUGUUUGCCUUGUGUAUGUAUUUAUAUAUCUACCUCUCCACCCUUGUACUGUGAUUGCCUUACAAGAAGUUAAAGCUAUGUCUGGAACCAGUAGCAAAAG
RNAcentral lists this long non-coding RNA (553 nucleotides) under Mus caroli (Ryukyu mouse). RNAcentral describes it as "lncRNA (MGP_CAROLIEiJ_G0006078.1)". The record is from RNAcentral. Lineage: Eukaryota; Metazoa; Chordata; Mammalia; Rodentia; Muridae.